UUUUAGACAACAUUUGGAUAUAUGAUCAGUUCAGAAGGGGGAGUUGCAGGAGAUAAAACACUAAUCUUCAGUGUUCAUCUAUGGGUUCCUUGCUAAGCACUCAUAUUUGCUAAUGGUGUCUGGGGAAAAAAAAAAAAAAAGGAAAGAAAAAACACCACUAACAACAAUAUAAACACCCAAAACAUAAAUAUUCAAUGCCCAGAGACCCUAGCUGAGUAACAAAUUUGGAUUUGGUUGCAUUUUCAGAUGUUGUGUGCCAGGCUAUGUCACACUGGGGGCCUUCUGUAUCACUGGACUUUGUGUUCUGUCUACUUUUUAUUCUGGUAAUGUGUAAACUAUAGUGUCUCUCCUCUUAUGUGUUUUAGCUGCCAUUUGGAGAGCGCACUCAGAACUGCUUGGAAAUAGCACUGGGAGGAGAGAGUUCUGUGCAGCAGCGAGACAUUCGGGAUGUCCAGAAACAUUUCCUGUAGUGCUGAUUAAUUCCAAGAGCACGAGGAUGCAAUGAAUGUGUGGGCGUGUACCUGAGAAGCAAGCUUCUUACUGACUUGUGGUCUGCACUGAGAUCCUACAAGAAAUAACAUGUCGUUGCCUGUGGCCUACAGUAAUAUCUGAACAGUAGGAGACUGAAUAGCAUCUGCAUUGCUUU
This 646-nucleotide long non-coding RNA is filed under the name Anser brachyrhynchus (Pink-footed goose). RNAcentral describes it as "lncRNA (ENSABRG00000020190.1)". The record is from RNAcentral. Lineage: Eukaryota; Metazoa; Chordata; Aves; Anseriformes; Anatidae.